GGAAAGAGAGGGAUUCGA
This 18-nucleotide transfer RNA is filed under the name Ceratodon purpureus. Its description in RNAcentral is "partial tRNA-Ser". Lineage: Eukaryota; Viridiplantae; Streptophyta; Bryopsida; Pseudoditrichales; Ditrichaceae. RNAcentral also lists the same sequence under 32 other names. The record is from RNAcentral.